Long non-coding RNA from Aedes albopictus (Asian tiger mosquito), 2208 nucleotides. RefSeq lists it as uncharacterized. The record is from RefSeq and is a predicted model, not a curated record. Lineage: Eukaryota; Metazoa; Arthropoda; Insecta; Diptera; Culicidae. The transcript has 3 exons.
GUAUUAGAAAAUGUUGAAGUUUGAUACCCAUAUUGCUAAACUUGAACGAAAAAUAAUAUUUUACCGCUCUUGGGCCGGUUCCCUGAGGGUCCCUGGAGUAGAUUCCAAGCAGGGAUCCAGCCUGGAACUGGUUACAUAGCCUAAUUUGCUUCUGAAAAUAUCACUGUGGUCUAGAUUAUGAAAAUUUGUUAAUAUGAAACUGGAUUUUCAGCAGUUACUCUAAGAAAUUGAGUGGCGAAAGGAAGUUGGGGUCAUUUUUACCGGAUGUGACCCAGUGACUCACCGGAAUAGCUCCGGAUAGCCGGACAAUUCAAAAAUGACCAAUAGGUUUCCUAAAACUAGGCAUCAAAACAAUGCAAUGGUCAAAAAAUGAAAGAAAUCGGUUUAAAAUUGACGAAAUGGCAGCCAUUUGAAUUUUUUUCUUUCUGUUGGGCGGAUACGGGUUAAGAACCCAAAUCGGUUGAUAGACGGCUGAGAAAUUUAUGGUGAUACACUUUGUCAAUAAUAUCUAAAAUAAUUAAGUUGUACUACUCCCUAGCACUCUUUGAAAGAUAUCUCGGUAACCAAACGUCCAAUCAAAAUAAAAUUCAAUAGCGUUCUACUAGGAUGUAGUAGCUUUCAUUUGCUUCCAAGAGAACUCAAAUCGGUCAACAGACGGCUGAGAACCGUGAGUGACAUUUUUUGUAACAUACAUACACACACACACAUACACACACGCACAUACAGACAUUUGCUCAAUUCGUCGAGCUGAGUUGAUUGGUAUAUUGUCGGGCCGCCACCAAACCGGACUUCGCACAAUCAAGUGGCGACGCGACCCAACUCGCGACGUUUUUAAAUCAUGUCAAAGGUAGUGCGCAUCCUUCCCGUUGUUGUCAGCAACACAGCGCACUAGAUGCAAAAUAGUUGCGACACUUGUGGACCAAGAAAAUGGCAAUUUUUGAUUGAAUGUCGGUCUUGAUUCCAACCGGAUAGACAAUAUGUGACUCGGCCCUGCGGGCCUCGGAUCGAAAGUCGGUUUUCCAAGCGGUAUUUAUACCCUUCUUAUGGGUAUAAGAAGGGUAAAAACACAAACUUAUUUACAGACCACUUAUUAUGCUUUUGGUCGAAAUCCGAAGUGACCGAACGUGCGAAAAUUGAUUUUUUACCUACUUAGAAAUGUCGCAACUCAAUAUGGAUUAGUGCAUAUUGUACACCGAAAAAAUUUCAAACUUAAAGAUUAUGUAGUUGCCAACCUUAUAAUUCAUAAGACUCCCGAAGUAUUAUUUUUAUGUGUGUGGCUAUAAACAAUAUAUCGAGCAUUUUAAACUGUAUGCGUUGGUCAAUAAGAAGUAUGUGCGUCUAUAUAUCGUUUAUAUUUGCGCAAACAUAACAAUUAUAACGAAUUUCGUUAUAGUUAAAAAUUAUAGAAGUUCACACAUAAUUAUAAUGUUUGGUUAGAUUCGGUUUAGACACGGUUUCUAACCAAGUUUGCAACGGCUGAAAAUUCUGCAAACGCCAUUACAGCCAGAGUCGAAGAAUAUCAUCAUGCGGAGGCCGGCCAACUUGCAGUAGCUUCGGAGGAUAAGCUGGGGACAACCAUCAAAGCGAUACUGGAUAACAAAAGUUCGGACAAGAGUGGAAUCCGGAGGAAGCACCACCAGUCCGGAGAUCAGCGAGUUAAGGCAUUUUAGCAGCGUUAUCUCCUCCGGAACCGCCGUCGGCUGCCUACUCCAUCGUGGGCACUUGUCCUUUAAUUCUCGGUUAAGGGACAAAAGAGACGGCGAGAUGAGAAGUUCAUUACCAUCGUACCACAUCGUACCCACUUCGACGACAGGUGUACCUCACGGCGAACUGUUCCGGUAUCCGGACAUUGUUUUCCCUAAAGAUAUCCAUCAGAAUCAUAUCCUUAGAAUGGGGCAGCCGUCAAGGAUCAAGGAACAGAACAAACUUAGUGGGAAACAGCAUCCCCUGGAACGACGGUGGUAAGAAACAACAUCCCCUCCUUCCUUGCUUCUUUCCGUGGCUGGAAUUCCUAGGCCGGAAUGACACGACCAGCAGCGGGAAAAGGAAAAAUGGCAACUAUUCUAAUUAUAUCUAGUUUGUAUUGAUUUUCACUUGUUUCAAUAAACGAUUAAUAAUAUUCUGAUAAAAUUGUUUGUUUUCGUUUGUUUAUGGCCCGAAUAAUGAUUUGUAUGUAAAAUUCAUACAUAAAUUUUAUAUACCGCUCAU